UUCCCAAACGCUAUGUUUGGCUCCCGGGAACAGUAGUCCCCGAGAAUCUGGAACUAGCUGGUAUAAGGCUGGAACUACUGUUCCACUCGUUUUCUGGAACAAGCUUGUUCCUUGAUGAGAACAAGAUUAAUUAAAAUCUAAAUUGAAUUUUAAUGGCAGUAAAUUAUUAAUUAAUCUAAUUAAUAUAUUUAAAUUAUUAUUUAUUAUUUUAAUAAUUAAAUAAUUAAAUAAUUUAUUAUUUAUAAUU
Molecule: long non-coding RNA, 247 nt
Filed under: Ananas comosus (pineapple)
Lineage: Eukaryota; Viridiplantae; Streptophyta; Magnoliopsida; Poales; Bromeliaceae
Description: long non-coding RNA (ACOM_LNC034011)
Source: RNAcentral